CGACUAUUCAGAUAAAGAACUUUGUUUCAUAUGCUUCAUUUGUUUCGAAAUCUCUGAACAAAAAUGUCCUCUUUCAAUUGCCUUGCUUUAGCAUUCUUGAUUGCUUUGUCAUUUGCAAGCAUUGAUGUUGGGCUAGCAGCUCGUCACCUUCUGCAGCAGCCUCAACCGCAAAGUUUACCAUCUUUCCCUAAUCUCCCAACGCCAUCCCGACAAUCAUUCCCAUGGCCUGGGGCGCUUCCUCCACUUCCUACCACAUUGCCAACAGGACUACCCCCUCUGCCAAGCAUUCCCUCAGUCCCCACAAUCCCAACUGCAGUUCCCCCUAUUCCUUUCUCUUUUCCACCAUUGCCAUCUUUCCCUAAUCUCCCAAACCCUGGGGCGCUUCCUCCACUUCCUACCACAUUGCCAAGAGGACUGCCGCCUCUGCCAAGCAUUCCCUCAAUCCCAACUGCAGUUCCCUCUAUUCCUUUCUUUUCUCCACCACCUUCUCGUUCUACUCCUUGAAAUACCCCCUUUUCUGUUAUGCUGCAUACUGGAUCUAGUUUAAUAAGGUUUUUAGUCGUCUUUGUGUCUUUGUUAUGAGUAUUGAUUUUGCCCACUUAUAUUUGUUUGUAUAAAUGGGCGUUCUCCAAUUCCCAUUAUUUGGUGUAUUUUGAUACGUUGUUGCUUAUUAUAUAUGGGGUAUUUAUAUAUUGAUGUUCUGUCCAUGAAGUAAUUAAUUACUGUUAUACCAUUGUUAACAUGAGUUUGGCUAAUUAAGAAAAGAAUCAAACGAUAAAUGCAGUCAAAAUAGUGAGCAGCCGUACAUCGAGAAGAUGCCACUUUUAAUAUAAUGAUUCCUGCUUCACUAUCUCUUCCAAGUUAUCCAUUUACAUACGAUUACUUUCCUCUUUCAAUAUAUUUCCAAGAUAAUAUUUUAUAUGAAUGUUAAAUUAUGUAUUAAAUUAAGGUGCUUGGUUUCGUACAGAUUUCGGUUAUAUUAAUUUGUGUGCACUGUAUUAAUUUUAUACCGAAAUAUUAAUAUUUUUAAAAUUAGAUCGAUAAUUAAAUUAAUCAAUUAAUUAAUUUUUGAUCUCACAUGUUCAACCACCAAAACAAUUAAUUUUUUAUUGAACAAUAUAAAAUAAUAUUAAUAACCCCAAAACUCAUCUAUUUUGACGGCUUUGAAUUUUAAAACCCUCUCCCCAUCUUUCAUCUUUCCUAAUUUGUCUUUUUUUUUCCUUUGAUUGAAUGUUAUAAGUCCAGGUUUUUCACUGAGUAAUAAAAAAGUAAUAAAAGAAACAGUGCUUACUCUUUUUAUGGUUUGUUUUAUUUCAUUGAGUUAAGAGAAGAAGUGUAACAAAAGCUCAAGGGAUCUGAAGUGAAAUUUUUGUUUUCCAGUCUAGAAAAUGCGAAAAUGCGGCUUAAUCAACUGAUGAUUUGCAGUUUAACUGCAGUUUACUCUAGUUCUCGGGUUCAUCGGUUUUUGGUCUAUUUAGUUUGGUUUCAAUAACAUUGCGAAACACCCAAAACCCUUUUUCUACACUGGUAAAAAUUUUGGUCUGUACCAAUUGCACCAACUCAUUCCGAUCAAUUCCUAUCACACCUGCCAGAACAUAGUGCACCGUCCUAUGCAUGAAUAAUAUUAAAAAUAUUAAACUUUUAAUAAUUUAAUAUUAUGCUAAAAACUUAAUUGAAACGUGACUAAUUAAAAACGCUACAUCGGGAUGUAAAUUUUUUAAAAAAAUGGAAUAUACUUUCACAUUCAAAAUAUAAUUAAGAAAAAUUCAUUUACCUGAUUAUCAAAUAAAAAAUAUUCGUUCACCUUUCAGCUUCUUUUAUUAAGUAAAUGAGCUAAAUCUUUAAAAUUUCAUAUUAAAUGAUGGAUUAUUAUUAAUAAUUUUGGAUUUAUUUGAAUGAUAAAUUUUUAUUUGUUAAGUUUAUUAAUGAAUAUUUUAUAUUUGAAAUGUAUUUAGUUUCAUUCAUUUUAUAUUUGUAAUAUAUUUAUAUACAUAUCUUAAAUAAUUUUAAAAAAUAUUGAUAAAUCUGAAAAGAUAUGCAUCAAUUCUAGUAAAAAAAAUCAAACAAAAAAUCAAAUGUCCACUAAUAUAAAGAAAAGAAAUCUCAAUUCUUAAAAUUUCAAUUCCUUUAUAUUUAAAGUUGAAGACAGUAGAAGAAAAAUAGAAAUAAGUAUUAACAAUGAAAUUAGAUUUGAAUAACGUUGUCGCUAGGAAUAAUUUAUUGACAAUUUUUAUAAGACGUUACAUGUAUUUAAUAUGAUAUAAAAGAAUUAUGUACAAUUUUGGUUGGGAUUAAAAAAUUAACAUGUUUAUCUCCCAAAUCAAUUCGGUCCUAUGUCUUUAAAAUAAAAUUCUAUUAACAUGUGUAUUUCGAAUACAAAUGUUUAAAUUUCAACUUAAACACAAAGGCACACUAAAUAAAUUCUAUUCUAAAUUUCAUUCAGCUCAAUUUAUUAUAAAAAAAGUUAAUUACGUAAUUAAGUCAAAUUCGAAUUGACCCAAAUUUGUCUAAAUUUAAAAUGAUUUGAUCACAAAAUAAUUGAAACUUAAAAUGAUCAAAAUCUAAAAUGAUUCGGAUCAAUAAUGAUUACACAUGAAAAACUUAGCCUCAAAUUCGAAUGAUUUGAACCUAAAUAAGACAAAUCUGAAAAUGACCUAAACCACAUUUGAAGUUUUCAUGUAUUUUAAAGAAUUACACAUAUUAAACAUAUCUUAGAUACACUUAUAAAAUGAUGUUUAUAUAGAUUUGGUUUACUAUAAACUUGUAAGACUCAAAAUAAGAGAAUAUAUAUGCGCACACGAGGACUGAGCCUAAUAGCUCAAUUCCAUUCAAAUGGGAAUUUUUUUUUCAAUUUUUUCAUUGCACAUGAUACAAAUUAAAUCUUGAGGGAUAGUAAAUCCACGAAUAUCCUAAAGAAUAGGGAAAUUCAUGCCUCAAGCAACAAUUCUAACUUUCUAAACUAUUGAUGUUUUUAACAAAGCUAAAAUGAUCUUAAAAUUUUAAGACAUAAUUUGAGACAGUGAAAUCUUGAAGGCCAAAGUUUAAGUCACAUUAUGAAUAAAUUAAAUGUUAACUUUCUAAACUAUUGAUGUUUUUAACAAAGCUAAAAUGAUCUUAAAAUUUUAAGACAUAAUUUGAGACAGUGAAAUAUUGAAGGCCAAAGUUUAAGUCACAUUAUGAAUAAAUUAAAUGUAUGCCAUACUUUAGAUUUAUUCUAAUUAUUUAGUUCGUUUCUAAUGUACAUAAAGUUUGCCAACAUGGAGGAUUGUUCAAGUAUUCUAUUUGAAAUAUUACUUUAAUUAAGGAAAUAAAUCUCAAAAUUUUACACAUGAAUAUUGCUUCAAUCUAUAAUGUCAAACAUAAACUUUAAUUUAAUGUGCACUAUGACACUUAAAUUAUGUUAAUUUUAUGCAAUUGUAUAUAAUAAAUUAUGAUUUUGAUUUAAUUUAAUUUGGGUUUGAGGCUCGAGUUUUUUGAGCUGAGUCAUUAUAGGUUUCGAUUAUUUCAUAUAUUGUGAAAAUUCAAUUGCUGUCUUUAUGGCUAAGAGCGACAAAAGUGAAAGUCGAAGUAAACAUAUUGACUUUAAGUAUCUAGUCAUAAAGGAACAUGUUAAAGAAAAGAAAGUCGUCAUUGAGCACAUUAACAUUGAGCAGAUGUUAUCUGAUCCUUUGACUAAAGGCAUGCCACCGCCCAAAAUUUAAGGAUCAUGUUGUCAUUGUGGGACUCGUUCCCACCUUUUUAAAUUUUAUUAUAAGAACGAUUAUAAAAAAAAACACUGUUAAAUUAAUUCCAAGUCAUUAUAAAUUUGUUAAUUAAAGAAUAGGUAAAAUUAAUAGAAAAUAAAACAAAAACAAAAACGUUGAUAAUAAGUUAAAAAUUCAUCCAAAUCAUUAUAAAUUUUUUAUUUAAAAAUGAACUACAAUUAAAAUGGAAAAAAAUAAAAAAAAACAUGUGGCGCUAUUUUGGUUUGGGGGCAUGCAUGGGGCAUUGUUUAAGGGCAGGGGAUUUCUAUUCACUGCUCCAAUGCCUAUAUAAACCUCAAUACCAUGCUUUGUUUUCUUCACCCACAACUAUUCAGAUAAAGAACUUUGUUUCAUCUGCUUCAUUUGUUUCGAAAUCUCUGAACAAAAAUGGCCUCUUUCAAUUGCCUUGCUUUAGCAUUCUUGACUGCUUUGUCAUUUGCAAGCAUUGAUGUUGGGGUAGCAGCUCGUCACCUUCUGCAGCAGCCUCAACCGCAAAGUUUACCAUCUUUCCCUAAUCUCCCAACGCCAUCCCGACAAUCAUUCCCAUGGCUUGGGGCGCUUCCUCCACUUCCUACCACAUUGCCAACAGGACUACCCCCUCUGCCAAGCAUUCCCUCGGUCCCCACAAUCCCAACUGCUGUUCCCCCUAUUCCUUUCUCUUUUCCACCAUUGCCAUCUUUCCCUAAUCUCCCAAACCCUGGGGCGCUUCCUCCACUUCCAGCCACAUUGCCAAGAGGACUGCCGCCUCUGCCAAACAUUCCCUCAAUCCCAACUGCAGUUCCCUCUAUUGCUUUCUUUUCUCCACCACCUUCUAGUUCUACUCCUUGAAAUACCCCCUUUUCUGUUAUGCUGCAUACUGGAUCUAGUUUAAUAAGGUUUUUAGUCCUCUUUGUGUCUUUAUUAUGAGUAUUGAUUUUUCCUACUUAUAUUUGUUUGUAUAAAUGGGCGUUCUCCAG
Molecule: long non-coding RNA, 4699 nt
Filed under: Gossypium raimondii (Peruvian cotton)
Lineage: Eukaryota; Viridiplantae; Streptophyta; Magnoliopsida; Malvales; Malvaceae
Description: long non-coding RNA (GRAI_LNC011219)
Source: RNAcentral